Molecule: ribosomal RNA, 550 nt
Filed under: uncultured bacterium
Lineage: Bacteria
Description: bacterial SSU rRNA
Rfam family: Bacterial small subunit ribosomal RNA
Source: RNAcentral
UAGGGAAUCUUCCACAAUGGGCGCAAGCCUGAUGGAGCAACACCGCGUGAGUGAAGAAGGGUUUCGGCUCGUAAAGCUCUGUUGUUAAAGAAGAACACGUAUGAGAGUAACUGUUCAUACGUUGACGGUAUUUAACCAGAAAGUCACGGCUAACUACGUGCCAGCAGCCGCGGUAAUACGUAGGUGGCAAGCGUUAUCCGGAUUUAUUGGGCGUAAAGAGAGUGCAGGCGGUUUUCUAGGUCUGAUGUGAAAGCCUUCGGCUUAACCGGAGAAGUGCAUCGGAAACUGGAUAACUUGAGUGCAGAAGAGGGUAGUGGAACUCCAUGUGUAGCGGUGGAAUGCGUAGAUAUAUGGAAGAACACCAGUGGCGAAGGCGGCUACCUGGUCUGCAACUGACGCUGAGACUCGAAAGCAUGGGUAGCGAACAGGAUUAGAUACCCUGGUAGUCCAUGCCGUAAACGAUGAGUGCUAGGUGUUGGAGGGUUUCCGCCCUUCAGUGCCGGAGCUAACGCAUUAAGCACUCCGCCUGGGGAGUACGACCGCAAGGUUG